AGCCAGGGGAUAGCAGAUAAGGGUGUUCAUUGGCAUCUGAAAGGAAUGGGAGGCAUCUGGAGAGGUGGGCAUGUUAUUUGUCUGGGCUUAAAGGCUUAAGGCGGUGGUUCUCAACCCAGGGUGAUUGUCUGUUUUGGUUGUCACAACUGAGGUGGGGGCUGCUACUGGCAUAUCCAGCAUAGAGGCCAGGGAUACUCCUAAACACCCUACAAUGUUUAGGAUGGCUCCCCAUAACAAAGAAUCAUCCAGAACAAAUUUGUGAAUGUUGGAGUUCCCAUCGUGGCUCAGUGGUUGUGAACCCAACCAGUAUCCAUGAGGAGGCAGGUUUGAUCCCUGGCCCCACUCAGUGGGUUAAGGAUCUGGCAUUGCUGUGAGCUGUGGUGUAGGCCAGCAGCUAUAGCUCCGAUUCGACCCCUAGUCUGGGAAUGUCCAUAUGCUGUGGGUAUGGUCUUAAAAAAACAACAACAACAAAAAAAGUUUGUGGAUGUUGAAAUCAGUAUACAAUGCCAGUUUUCAUUUAUAUCUACUCAUUCUACCACCUUGACUUGAGGUUAAGUCUCUCAUACCUCACAAAGUCAUUUCCCAGCUAAUAUAGUAAUGGCAUGGCACAAUAGGAGAAUGGGUUAGAAAUACUCAGGCACAUUCUGCCAGAGAUUAGGGCUCAACUCUUUCUCCCAAGCUGUAGGCAAGCUCUCCCUCCUUGAACUGCCUCGGGCUCUAUCGGUCCUCUUAGAGAUUUUGAAACUUUAUCUCAUCUGAGCCCAGUCUCUUCAUCUCGCAUCCUUCAUGGCAGCCAGGUGAGUGUUUUUGUCCCUAGAAGCUACUCAAUGAAUGUUUGCCAACCACCUAGGCCAGCGAGGCCAAACUAAAGCUCAGUUUCCAAGGCAUUCAUUCCACCAUGUUUAUCUUUGGUUUGAGAAGAGUGGUCAUAUGUAAUUUCAGGGCCCAGUUCCGUGGAAAGAGGGCCAGUGCCCCAUUAAUAGCCUUUUCCUGUUGGUUAUUUGCCUCCCUGGGACUCCAGCAGCUUCUCAUGUUUUUGGCCUCAAGGCCCCAGUGGAAAUAGAAAACAGCAUGCUUUUUACCCACCCAGCCUCUAUUCCUUGCCCACAUAGACAUUUGCUGUGUGCUUCCUGUGUGCUAAGUGAUUCUGGACAGACGAAUCUAACACUGUCCCAAGUGGCCCGUGUGGUGUGAAGCGUAGGAAACUAUCCCUCUCUUUACAAGUUCUGACUUCAGUGAGGGGGACAGCUGGGCCUGUAGAUCAUCCUGAUAGAUGGAUUAAAUGUCUUAGUAGAAAUGCAUACAGAGUGUCUGUGAGAAUGGAGAAAAAGAAGGGGAGGGGAGGGAAAGUUGGCAAGGCCACAUUUUACCUGCCUGAACGGAGACUCAGAAGGUGCUCGGAGGGAAUGUGAUGCCUAGAAUGGGUUCUUCCUUCACCUAAAGAAACAGGUAGCCAGGAAAGGAAGCUGUGGCAUCCACACUGCUGCCAAGGCAACCUGACCAUCUCUUCUCAUGGUUUUCACACUCUGGAGAGCCCGUUACUUGGUGCUUGAAAGCAGUGGAUGACUAUGCAGCUCCCCAAACCCUAAACCCCUUGAUAGUUUGCACAUGACUCAGCUGCUCCAUCAUCUCCUCUCGUGCCCUCCCCCAGCCGCAGUCACACUUCCUAAUUCCUGGCUAUGUCGUAAAUGUUUUUGACGCCACAGGGCGCCAGGUAGUCCGUCCUUUCCUGGUUUGGAAAGCAUCUUCUAUGGGUGAUUUUUCUACCCCUUAAAGUUUCACUUAUCUUCAGUCCAAAUGUCAAAGAUCCCUUUCUUCAGGAACCCCUUCCACCCUGGUAGAAAUCAUUGCCUUUGUCACAGCUCAUCAUACUCAAGUUUUGCUUCAUGGAAGCGCUAGGAGUAUGCAGUCUCUCUCUUCUGCGCUCCCUGAGGUCAUUUAGAAUGUUUUUCCAUCUGUUUGUGUAUUUGUUCCACUCGCUCCACCCAGGGUUAACUUUUAACUGUAUGAAUGCAUAGCAGGUGCCGAAGAAAGGUCCGUUGUUGACAAAGAUGAUAAGCAGUAUAAAUGUUUCAUUAUAUUUUUUUUUCAGGAAUAGGUAUGUACCUACCAAAAGGACUCUUGUGCUUCAGAGAAAUAGAAAAUCUUUUCAACUUUCACCAGCAUUCCGCUUUUAAUGGUGUUCCUAAAUACACAGACCGCCCCGGUACAGAGGGGAUAUUAAAGUUCAAAGAGACAGAGAAAUCAGGUUGAAGAUGGUAAGUGAGCAGACUCUUAAGGGAAUAAGAGCAUUUCCUCAUUUCUGGAUCGGAGCAGAAAUGUCUGUAAUCCAGAUAUUUAAAACUUGUCUGAGUGACUAGGUGGGGGAGGUUUCACAGAACAGCCCGGAGCAGGGCCCUCAGGGAUGAACUUGAUGUGAUUGUAAAGGUCAUAUCUAGCCCCAGGGCCUCGGAUUCCUUGAUAGCACAUCUGCUUUUGAUUGCAUGGGUUCUGAGCACCGGCUUAGGGCAGGACGCCAUCUGAAGGAGGAAAUACUAAGCUUGUCUGCAGGUCUGGAUGUUCCCACAAUGGGAGACCAGCUAAGCCCUGUGGCUGCAGGAAAGACACUGGAGCUUUGUCUCCAAGGCCCCACACGUGGAGAACUUGGCAGCCCACUCGGGCCUCUCAGAACCAAUGAAAUGGAGCUGGCAGAGAUGCAAAGCUAGGGAAAGUGGACUUGACAGGAGCCGGAGAUGAUUGUUUGAAGGAGGGAUACCAUGGUCGUUAAGAGGGAAGGUUGGGAAUCAGAAUCAGACCCACACUGUAGUUCUGGUAACUCCACUCACUGGCCCUCGUGUGACCUCAGGAGGCUUACUGGUUCCUGGUUUGUAACAUGCGGGGUUUACUGAGACACUGCCUGCCAGGCAUUUAGGGCUGUGCCUUAUCGCUCAAUCAUGUUCGGCUGGCUCUUCUUUUAUAAUUUAACUUCGGCUUGCUCCAUCUGGGGAGAUAACAUGACUAAAUGCUUUGAAAUUUGAAAGAAAGGCAGAAAAAGAAAAAAACACCACCCCAGAGUGCUGUUUAGAAUAGUGGAAGUCUCAGCCGAGCAGCACCGGCUCCCCGCUGGGUGCAGAUGUGAGGGGCCCUGCUCCUCGGGCAAGUGCACUUGCUACCCAGUGAGAGCCAGCCAGGGCCACCAAGUCACGUGAGCGGAGGCGGCGAAAGCUGCAAAAACACAUGUGGCCGGAGCAGGCACAAGGAGGUGAUGCCGGCCCUGGGAGGUCCCUGAGGCUGUAUGGGACCGGGAUUCCUUGGAACGCUGCAGAGGGCAGGACUAUGUAAACAAGAGAUCAAAACAAUGGCCUUGCUGGCCCUUCAGCGUGAUAAAUGUUUGUCCUGAAUGUGUAACAGGAGUCAGACCACCACCAUCUUUUUGUAGUUGGAGUUUUAAGAGGACCCAGGAGAGGACUCACUGGUGUGAGUUGGGGGAAGUCCUUUCAGCUGGCUUGUCUCCCUGGUGGCUGAACCCACUUCUAGGGGCAGACAGCCCCCUGCAUUUUCAAAGCCCAGCCUGCCUGCAUGACCCCUCCCAAGCAAGGGGCCACGGGGCAGGCUGCUCAGAGACUCUCAUCAUUCUUAGCCAACUGGAGAACCCCUCCCCCAUGGCGUGGGAAAGAGGGGCCAGCUUCAUCCAAAUUACGCCCAUCAUCCCAGGACCACCAAAGACCAUGUCUGUGAGUUCAGAAAAGGGAAGUUUAAUGGGAAGGGAAACAGUUCAGCCAGGUGUGUUCAGGAUCGUAAAACCCACAUAACUUUUAGCAGCUCUUCUAACUUUUUCUAUCUACCUCAGUUGCAUUGAGACCAAAAGCCCUUGGCCUUGGCUCACAGCCCCUCACUGCUGUGUCUUGCACAUCUUCUCUUAGAAGCAGAAAGUACAGGAGAGAAAACAUUUCCUGUUAAAUAUCCCAAAACACGUGGCUGCUUUAGUUUCUGCUAUAGAGUGAAACUGGCAGGUUGUUAUGACUCAGCUGGUCCUCCCAGACAGAUAGACAGAGAGAGAGUUCAAUCAAUUCAUAAUCUAUUGGAUGAAAAGAUCACUGGGAUGAUUGAAACAGCUCUCUAAGAUCUAACCAUCUUCUAUUUCAUCAUGAUGACCGCAAAUGUUAGCAUCUCCAUUUGACCAUUUAUCAUUCUGUCUUUUCUGUCAGGAGUGCCAAAUUAACGUUCAACCCUUGCUGAUGUUUGUUAUUUCAUUUAGGAAGUAUUAGCGAUAAAGCCAUUUAUCUGAGAGUGUUUGACUUGCUGUUUCUGUUAUCUGGCCCCUACGUUAACAGCAUUUGGGGCCAGAAAGUGAUUAUCAACAUUAUGCCCAAGAAAGAGGGUUCAGGCAUGCUUGAAUAAGUAUCCAAAGGUGAGGGGGCAGCUGAGGACAGUCCUAGGAGCCUGGUGGGGGUCAGGCCGAAAGUCAUGGGUGAUGGCUAUAGGUUCAAAAUGGUUGGGGAAGACCUCAGAGAUGUGUGUGCACAUAUGUGCAUGUGUAUGUGUGUGCAUACAUGUGUGAGUGUGUGUGUGCAGUCAGGGCUGGGGUAUGAUGAUGAUGUGAUGUGAUGAUGCCUGGGACUAGGUUUUCAACAUGGCAUAUGACCAUUUGUAUGGGUGCCCAUCUGAGGUCUAAUUAGAACAUCUGUGUGCAGGCAAUGCCUCCAUGAGUUCCAAUAAGCCACAGCACUGUUGAUUGCAGGAAUCUUGGCAAGGUAGCUGCCUUGGAGGAUAUCAAGCUCCAGGGCUUUCUUCCUAUUCUGGAUUUUUCUGUGCUGUCUUAUCAGUGGCCCUAUCGACUGGAAUUCAGGCCACAAAGUUUGAAUUCAGGCCCGAGCUGAAGGCACUCAGCAAACUCAGAUCUCAGCUGGGGAAGGGGCCUGAUAGAUCUGGAUCCAAGCAGGCCCUCCCGGCCCCUCCUUUUGGGUACACUUUGGGCCAGUCCCCUCUGUUCUCAGUUUCCUAUUUGUUAGCUCAGACUCUUAUUUCUCAGGGUGUGAUCGCAAGAAACUAAAUAAAAUAAUUCAUAUGACAUCUUUUUAGAAAGUAAUAAAAAGAUGAUUCUAUAUUGGAUUUUACUGAGGGUAAACACUGUGCACACGAUAAAAGCAGUCCAGCCCCAGAGAAGAUAUACCUGAAUGGGGAAAUUUUGGGUGUUUGGGAAUUACAUUGCAUAACAUCCCUUCUGGAUGUUUUUAUUGAAUGCCUACUUUGUGCCCUGCUUAGUGCAAAUAUGAAAAGGGGCCUGGUUCCUCUGCUCCAGUGUUUCAUAGUUUUGUUGAGGAAACUGACAAGGUCUUAGUCUUAGUUACCCAGAAAGCAGAGGAUUAGUGGGAUAUUAUUGUGUUAGGGAGUUGUUAUGGGCUGGAUUGUGUUUCUCCCAAAUUUGUGUGGUGAAGUCUCAGUAACUCAGAAUAUGACUGUAUUGGAGGGUAGGGUAUUUCUAGAGGUAAUUAAGGUACAAUGAGAUCAUUGGGAGGGCCCUCAUCUGACCAGUGCCCUUUUAAGAAGAAAUUAGGACACACGCAUGUAUGCAGGGAAGGCCAUGUGAAGAUACAGGGAGAAGAUGGCCAUCUGCAAGCCACAGAGAGGUCUCAGAAGAAAGGCCUCAGAGUUCCCGUCGUGGCGCAGUGGUUAACGAAUCCGACUAAGAACCAUGAGAUUGCGGGUUCGAUCCCUGCCCUUGCUCAGUGGGUUAAAUGAUCCGGCAUUGCCGUGAGCUGUGGUGUAGGUUGCAGAUUUAGCUCAGAUCCUGUGUUGCUGUGGCUCUGACGUAGGCCGGUGGCUACAGCUCCGAUUGGACCCCUAGCCUUGGAAUAUCCAUAUGCCGCGGGAGCGGCCCAAGAAAUAGCAAAAAG
RNAcentral lists this long non-coding RNA (5876 nucleotides) under Sus scrofa (pig). RNAcentral describes it as "lncRNA (ENSSSCG00060037871.1)". Lineage: Eukaryota; Metazoa; Chordata; Mammalia; Artiodactyla; Suidae. The record is from RNAcentral.